RNAcentral lists this ribosomal RNA (424 nucleotides) under uncultured bacterium. RNAcentral describes it as "bacterial SSU rRNA". It matches the Rfam family "Bacterial small subunit ribosomal RNA", at positions 381 to 793 of the family's 1533-position model. The record is from RNAcentral.
CCCUGAUGCAGCCAUGCCGCGUGUGUGAAGAAGGCCUUCGGGGUUGUAAAGCACUUUCAGUAGGGAGGAAGGUAGUGUAGUUAACACCUGCACUAUUUGACGUUACCUACAGAAGAAGCACCGGCUAACUCCGUGCCAGCAGCCGCGGUAAUACGGAGGGGUGCGAGCGUUAAUCGGAAUUACUGGGCGUAAAGCGCAUGCAGGCGGCCUGUUAAGUCAGAUGUGAAAGCCCGGGGCUUAACCUCGGAAUUGCAUUUGAAACUAGGCAGGCUAGAGUCUUGUAGAGGGGGGUAGGAAUUUCAGGUGUAGCGGUGAAAUGCGUAGAGAUCUGAAGGAAUACCAGUGGCGAAGGCGGCCCCCUGGACAAAGACUGACGCUCAGAUGCGAAAGCGUGGGGAGCAAACAGGAUUAGAUACCCUGGUAG